CUAGGGGAUCCUUAUCCGUUUCUGGUGGGGAUGAAAAGCAUUUGUUUCUAAGUGCCUGUUCUUGACCACCUCUGUGCAGGUUUUAGACUACCUUGUUACAGCCUUUAAGAAUGAAAGUCCAGGCUCUUCAAUCACACUUUGCUGAUAUGGAUGAGGUUACCGGCUUCUUCAGUUCUAAGCCUGAGAUAUAUGAGUCAAAAAGAAAACUCAGAAAACUCUCUACCAUGUUGUUCUUCAGGUGUCAGAUUUCCUAUUUGCUGCUGUGAGAUGGAUCAGUAUUCACCUUGCCACAUCUCCACAAAUUGGUGUCCCUCUGUGCUCUAAACCUUGGCAUUUUGUGUUAUAACAUGUACUCAAAAUCUACCGUAAGUAUCGAUGAAGACCUGUAAACCCAACAUGUAAUGUAUUUCUGGAAUGUAAAA
Molecule: long non-coding RNA, 422 nt
Organism: Gorilla gorilla gorilla (western lowland gorilla)
Lineage: Eukaryota; Metazoa; Chordata; Mammalia; Primates; Hominidae
Exons: 3
Source: RefSeq, a predicted model, not a curated record